GCUCUGCCAACGCUCGGGCUUGGCAGGCAGACCAAUCCACAUGUGGUCAGCCAGCGCUGUCCUGCUUCGGCAAAUACAUUUCGGGGUUCGGCAUAACGCCUAGUAGGAAAUCCAAAAGCGCAGCCGAC
Molecule: non-coding RNA, 128 nt
Submitted as: unclassified sequences
Source: Rfam